UGCCUCUGUAGCUCAGUUGGAUAGAGCGACGGAUUCCUAAUCCGCAGGCCACAGGUUCAAUUCCUGUCAGGGGCAU
Molecule: transfer RNA, 76 nt
Filed under: Mucispirillum schaedleri ASF457
Lineage: Bacteria; Pseudomonadati; Deferribacterota; Deferribacteres; Deferribacterales; Mucispirillaceae
Description: tRNA-Arg
Rfam family: tRNA
About the family: Transfer RNA (tRNA) molecules are approximately 80 nucleotides in length. Their secondary structure includes four short double-helical elements and three loops (D, anti-codon, and T loops). Further hydrogen bonds mediate the characteristic L-shaped molecular structure. tRNAs have two regions of fundamental functional importance: the anti-codon, which is responsible for specific mRNA codon recognition, and the 3' end, to which the tRNAs corresponding amino acid is attached (by aminoacyl-tRNA synthetases). tRNAs cope with the degeneracy of the genetic code in two manners: having more than one tRNA (with a specific anti-codon) for a particular amino acid; and 'wobble' base-pairing, i.e. permitting non-standard base-pairing at the 3rd anti-codon position.
Source: RNAcentral